This 433-nucleotide ribosomal RNA is filed under the name uncultured bacterium. RNAcentral describes it as "partial 16S ribosomal RNA". It matches the Rfam family "Bacterial small subunit ribosomal RNA", at positions 39 to 507 of the family's 1533-position model. The record is from RNAcentral.
GGGGGGGGGGGGGGGGGGGGCGGGGGGGGGGGGGGGGGGGGGGGGGUGCGGGUGUGGGGGGGCAGGGGGGGGUGGCGCGGGGGAGGCUGGCCUUGGGUUCGGCGUCACGCCCGGAAAGGGGUGGUGAUAGCGGCAAAUGUCUUGGGACCAAAGAUUUAUCGCCGUGGGUUGGGCCCGCGUUGGAUUCGCUAGUGGUUAGGGUAAAAGCCUACCAAGGCGACGAUCCAGAGCUGGUCUGAGAGGAUGAUCAGCCACACUGGGACUGAGACACGGCCCAGACUCCUACGGGAGGCAGCAGUGGGGAAUAUUGGACAAUGGGCGAAAGCCUGAUCCAGCAAUGCCGCGUGAGUGAUGAAGGCCUUAGGGCUGUAAAGCUCUUUUACCCGGGAUGAUAAUGACAGUACCGGGAGAAUAAGCUCCGGCUAACUCCGUG